RNAcentral lists this ribosomal RNA (230 nucleotides) under uncultured bacterium. RNAcentral describes it as "partial 16S ribosomal RNA". It matches the Rfam family "Bacterial small subunit ribosomal RNA", at positions 563 to 791 of the family's 1533-position model. The record is from RNAcentral.
AAGGGUCUGUAGGUGGUUUUGACAGUCUGCUGUUAAAUCUCAGGGCUCAACCCUGUUAAGGCAGCAUGAAACUACGAAUCUUGAGUACGGUAGGGGCAGAGGGAAUUCCCGGUGGAGUGGUGAAAUACGUAGAUCUCGGGAAGAACACCAAAGGCGAAAGCACUCUGCUGGGCCGAGACUGACACUGAGGGACGAAAGCUAGGGGAGCGAAAGGGAUUAGAUACCCUGGU